Molecule: ribosomal RNA, 153 nt
Filed under: Hydroporus subpubescens
Lineage: Eukaryota; Metazoa; Arthropoda; Insecta; Coleoptera; Dytiscidae
Description: partial 18S ribosomal RNA
Source: RNAcentral
UGUGGUAAUUCUAGAGCUAAUACAUGCAAACAGAGCUCCGACCGGAGACGGGAGGAGUGCUUUUAUUAGAUCAAAACCAAUCGGCGGCGGGCGCGCUCGCGCGUCCGUUCGCCGCUCAACCUGGUGACUCUGAAUAACUUUCCGCUGAUCGCA